GCCAAAGUGAAAUUCCAACCUGAUGGAAGU
RNAcentral lists this non-coding RNA (30 nucleotides) under Homo sapiens (human). Lineage: Eukaryota; Metazoa; Chordata; Mammalia; Primates; Hominidae. The record is from RNAcentral.